CAACAGGAUUAGAGACCCUGGUAGUUCCUACCUUAAACGAUGCCGACAGGAGUUUGUCAUUUGUUAAUGGCAGAAUCUUUGGAGAAAUCAUAGUUCUUGGGCUCUGGGGGAACUACGACCGCAAGGCUGAAACUUGAAGGAAUUGACGGAAGGGCACACCAGGGGUGGAGCCUGUGGCUUAAUUUGAAUCAACACGGGGAAACUUACCAGGACCAGAUGUUUUUUAUGACUGACAGGCUUCGGGUCUUUCAGGAUAUUGUUUUUGGUGGUGCAUGGCCGUUGGUGGUGCGUGGGUUGACCUGUCUAGCGUUGAUUCAGCUAACGAGCGAGAUUAUCGCCAAUUAUUUACUUUGCCGAAGUCCUUCGGUUAAAGUUCUAAUUGGGACUCCCUGCGAUUUUAGCAGGUGGAAGAGGGUAGCAAUAACAGGUCCGUGAUGCCCUUUAGAUGCUCUGGGCUGCACGCGUGCUACAAUGUUAGGAUCAAUAGGACUGCGAGCCUGAGAGGGUGCGCUACUCUUAUAAUCCCUAACGUAGUUGGGAUUGACGUUUGUAAUCAGCGUCAUGAACCAGGAAUCCCUUGUAAAUGUGUGUCAACAACGCACGUUGAAUACGUCCCUGCCCUUUGUACACACCGCCCGUCGCUCCUACCGAUUGGAUGACUCGGUGAAAUCACCGGAUGCUUACGAGCAGAAAGUGAUUAAAUCACGUUAUCUAGAGGAAGGAGAAGUCGUAACAAGGUAACGGUAGGUGAACCUGCCGUUGGAUCAGUU
RNAcentral lists this non-coding RNA (770 nucleotides) under Trichomonas vaginalis G3. RNAcentral's name for it is "Eukaryotic small subunit ribosomal RNA". It matches the Rfam family "Eukaryotic small subunit ribosomal RNA", at positions 1000 to 1831 of the family's 1831-position model. Lineage: Eukaryota; Parabasalia; Trichomonadida; Trichomonadidae. The record is from Rfam by way of RNAcentral.